RNAcentral lists this ribosomal RNA (481 nucleotides) under uncultured bacterium. RNAcentral's name for it is "bacterial SSU rRNA". It matches the Rfam family "Bacterial small subunit ribosomal RNA", at positions 29 to 507 of the family's 1533-position model. The record is from RNAcentral.
AUUAAACGCUGGCGGCAUGCCUUACACAUGCAAGUCGAACGGUAGCGCGGGGCAACCUGGCGACGAGUGGCGAACGGGUGAGUAAAGCAUCGGAACGUGCCCUGGAAUGGGGGAUAACGUAGCGAAAGUUACGCUAAUACCGCAUAUUCUGUGAGCAGGAAAGCAGGGGAUCGCAAGACCUUGCGUCCUGGGAGCGGCCGAUGUCGGAUUAGCUAGUUGGUGGGGUAAAAGCCUACCAAGGCGACGAUCCGUAGCGGGUCUGAGAGGAUGAUCCGCCACACUGGGACUGAGACACGGCCCAGACUCCUACGGGAGGCAGCAGUGGGGAAUUUUGGACAAUGGGCGGAAGCCUGAUCCAGCCAUGCCGCGUGAGUGAAGAAAGCCUUCGGGUGUAAAGCUCUUUCGGUGGGGAAGAAAUUGCACGGGUUAAUACCCUGUGUAGAUGACGGUACCCGACUAAGAAGCACCGGCUAACUACGUG